GACGAACGCUGGCGGCGUGCCUAAUACAUGCAAGUUGAGCGCUGAAGGUUGUACUUGUACCAACUGGAUGAGCAGCGAACGGGUGAGUAACGCGUGGGGAAUCUGCCUUUGAGCGGGGGACAACAUUUGGAAACGAAUGCUAAUACCGCAUAAAAACUUUAAACACAAGUUUUAAGUUUGAAAGAUGCAAUUGCAUCACUCAAAGAUGAUCCCGCGUUGUAUUAGCUAGUUGGUGAGGUAAAGGCUCACCAAGGCGAUGAUACAUAGCCGACCUGAGAGGGUGAUCGGCCACAUUGGGACUGAGACACGGCCCAAACUCCUACGGGAGGCAGCAGUAGGGAAUCUUCGGCAAUGGACGAAAGUCUGACCGAGCAACGCCGCGUGAGUGAAGAAGGUUUUCGGAUCGUAAAACUCUGUUGGUAGAGGAGAACGUUGGUGAGAGUGGAAAGCUCAUCAAGUGACGGUAACUACCCAGAAAGGGACGGCUAACUACGUG
RNAcentral lists this ribosomal RNA (496 nucleotides) under uncultured bacterium. RNAcentral describes it as "partial 16S ribosomal RNA". It matches the Rfam family "Bacterial small subunit ribosomal RNA", at positions 28 to 507 of the family's 1533-position model. The record is from RNAcentral.